This 38-nucleotide non-coding RNA is filed under the name Trichobilharzia regenti. Lineage: Eukaryota; Metazoa; Platyhelminthes; Trematoda; Strigeidida; Schistosomatidae. The record is from RNAcentral.
AUUAGAGUCCCAAAUAGGACGAAAUGCGCGUCUUGAAU